UUGUACUCUGAAGAAAUGACAAGUUUCGAACAAUUGAAAGGGAAGAUUGCUCGAGUAUUUCAUAAAGUAAGUGACCAGAAAACUGAAAUAUUCCGGUUUAUCGUGUGUUCUCUAAUGAGAUAAACACAAACUGAAAUAAAACGAGUGGAAGUAAGUACAGAUAUUAAUUAACAUCAAAUUCUCCGCCAAGUUGAGAUACAGUUAACCGCUUAACCUACGAUUUACGUUCGAGAAUUUUGGGCCGAAAACGUAAACAAGCUCGCGCAGCCUUCGAGCCAUUCGCACGAUGUGUUGUGUAAUACGAUGACCCUUACUAUGCCCGUAAUAUUUACGUUUGGCUCGAUCAUCGUACUACAGGCUAUGCUUGUAGUUGCAGGUUAAGAGAAAAAUGUCCAUCUUAUGAGUUUCAAAAUAGUGAAAAAGGACCUGAUCCACAACAGCCUCAAAUAUAUGUCACUCUGUUUUCCCAAGUUAGAAAAUCAAACGUUUGUUCCAACCGCUUCAGAGCUUCCAGUCUCCUUGCAAUACGGAACACCUUGUACAGAAGCAAUAGGAUGUUGUUGAUCCUCGAGCGUCUUAAGCCUCGGACACGAAACGAUCCUCAGGUUCAAUACAUUGUGCGGCGAAUGGACGUGUUUCUCGGAGCUUAACAAGAACGCACGAGCGAGGACAACCGAUCGAGGCAAUGUCUUUAUCGAUAAUGUCUUGAUCGAGGCGGAGCGAGGGACAUUCGCGCGAGAGACCGGUUUCUUUGCCAAGGUUCCAGCCAGUCUUCGAGAUUAUCGGUUAACUGUACUUGUCCCGUUAGCCGUGAUAACGGCAGAUUGCAAAAGUGCUCGACUUUAGUAACACGAGGAUAGAACUUACUUAAACCUUAAUGGAUCGACGCUGGCUUGACGAGCAAUGGAUUCACUCACCUGAAACAAGAAACAGAUAUUCUAUGUAAGAUGGAUGGUUUGAAGGUUCUAAUGGAUACAAAUAAAUAUUUCGAGAGAUACAAUGAAUAAAUUAAAAUAUAUUAGAUACAUUAGCUUAUAGUAACAGUAUAUUAAUAUUAAUGUAGGACACAUAUCGAUCUAGCAGUUAUUAAUAUUCUCUUUUCACUAAAAAGUGGAAUUUUGAGGUUACGAAAUGUCGUCUCAUUCGCAGAGACUUGAAAUUCUAUGUUCGUCAUAGACUUUUAGAAGCACGUGAGAUAAGAGUUGAUCGCUCAUACGAUUACUUUGUUACAGCUAUGUAUUAAAUUUGAAUUAUUCAAGAGAUAUAUAAUGGCUGACGAAAGUAUUCGAACACUUACAUAUGCAAACUUGAAUGGCCGAAAUAAUGUACAUUAAAGUAAUUUGCUUAGACAAGCAGAUGUCAAUAGAAAGAUGGAAGUUUUAAGGUUAUGUCAGUAAAAUUUGAAAAGGAUUCAACAACGUAGCCCAUAAAUUUUCAAUCGGAUUUAUGUCUGAACUUUGCGGUGGAGUAAUUAGCAUGUGUGAUGUGUUAUAUACGAUCCAUUUUUUCGCAAUUCUAGCAGUAUGCUUAGGAUCAUUAUCUUGUUGGAAGUGGAAAUCUUCCAAUAAUCCCAAUUUACAGGCACUUGUUUAAUGUUAUUUUUUAAAUAUUUAAAUACUUAUAUUUAUCAAGUAUUCCAUCAAUAAAUAUCAAAUUUCCGGUGCCACUGGCAGCCAUGCACCCCCACACCAUAACCGAUCCGCCUCCGUGUUUGAUGUAAAUAUCGAAUUUUCAAUUCCAUAUUUGGUUUUCUUCACAUUUAAUUUUGACCAUCCGAGCCAAAAAUGUUAAACUUUGACCCGUCCGAAAAGAUGACUUUGUGCCAAAAAGAAUUAUUUUUAUUAAUAUAGGUUUUGCAAAAGUCAAUCUUUUUCUAUGAUUUA
This 1883-nucleotide unclassified non-coding RNA is filed under the name Bombus terrestris (buff-tailed bumblebee). RNAcentral's name for it is "misc RNA ENSBTSG00005037075.1". Lineage: Eukaryota; Metazoa; Arthropoda; Insecta; Hymenoptera; Apidae. The record is from RNAcentral.